GGGGAAUAUUGGGCAAUGGGCGCAAGCCUGACCCAGCAACGCCGCGUGAAGGAAGAAGGCUUUCGGGUUGUAAACUUCUUUUAAGAGGGAAGAGAAGAAGACGGUACCUCUUGAAUAAGCCACGGCUAACUAC
This 133-nucleotide ribosomal RNA is filed under the name uncultured bacterium. RNAcentral's name for it is "partial 16S ribosomal RNA". It matches the Rfam family "Bacterial small subunit ribosomal RNA", at positions 356 to 504 of the family's 1533-position model. The record is from RNAcentral.